Molecule: RNase P RNA, 376 nt
Filed under: Muribaculaceae bacterium
Lineage: Bacteria; Pseudomonadati; Bacteroidota; Bacteroidia; Bacteroidales; Muribaculaceae
Description: RNase P RNA component class A
Rfam family: Bacterial RNase P class A
About the family: Ribonuclease P (RNase P) is a ubiquitous endoribonuclease, found in archaea, bacteria and eukarya as well as chloroplasts and mitochondria. Its best characterised activity is the generation of mature 5'-ends of tRNAs by cleaving the 5'-leader elements of precursor-tRNAs. Cellular RNase Ps are ribonucleoproteins.
Source: RNAcentral
AUAGAAGGUCGGUCUGUCGCUGCGGAGAUUUAAUUCAUCUCCGGAGAGGAAAGUCCGGGCAACACAGAGCACCGCACAUCCUAACGGGAAGCCGAUGGCGACAUCGGGGCAAGUGUGACAGAAAACUACCGCCAGCCAUAUUUCUCAUUGGCUGGUAAGGGUGAAAAGGCGGGGUAAGAGCCCACCGGCUCCGGAGGCGACUCCGGAGGCCGCACAUCCUGCGGGUUGCAAGGCCAAAUACACCGGCUGUUAAGGAUUGCUCGUCCUUAGCCGGGGGGUAGGCUGCUUCAGCCGUCGGGAGACCGUCCGGCGUAGAUAAAUGACAGACACCCGGUUCGUCCGGGCACAUAACCCGGCUUAUAGCCCUUCUAUCUGG